AGCAGCGUGACGCAGUGGUAGCGUGCAGGGCUCAUAACCCUGAAGUCCCUCGAUCGAAACGAGGCGCUGCUA
This is a transfer RNA of Punctularia strigosozonata HHB-11173 SS5, 72 nucleotides long. It matches the Rfam family "tRNA". From Rfam's summary of the family: Transfer RNA (tRNA) molecules are approximately 80 nucleotides in length. Their secondary structure includes four short double-helical elements and three loops (D, anti-codon, and T loops). The record is from Rfam. Lineage: Eukaryota; Fungi; Basidiomycota; Agaricomycetes; Corticiales; Punctulariaceae.